This 440-nucleotide ribosomal RNA is filed under the name uncultured bacterium. RNAcentral describes it as "partial 16S ribosomal RNA". It matches the Rfam family "Bacterial small subunit ribosomal RNA", at positions 338 to 795 of the family's 1533-position model. The record is from RNAcentral.
CCUACGGGAGGCAGCAGUAGGGAAUAUUGCUCAAUGGGGGAAACCCUGAAGCAGCAACGCCGCGUGGGGGAUGAAGGUUUUCGGAUUGUAAACUCCUUUUGUUAGGGAAGAUAAAGACGGUAUCUAACGAAUAAGGACCGGCCAAAUCCGAGCCAACAGCCGGGGUAAUUCGGAGGGUGCCAGCGUUACUCGGAAUCACUGGGCUGAAAGGGCGCGUAGGCGGGAAAGGCAGUCAGAAGUGAAAUCCUAUGGGUUAACCAUAGAACUGCAUUUGAAACUGUUAUUCUAGAGUAUGGGAGAGGUAGGUGGAAUUCGUGGUGUAGGGGUAAAAUGCGUAGAGAUCAAGAGGAACACUGAUUGCGAAGGCGACCUGCUAGAACAUAACUGACGCUGAGGCGCGAAAGCGUGGGGAGCAAACAGGAUUAGAUACCCCUGUAGUC